AACGAACGCUGGCGGCAUGCCUAACACAUGCAAGUCGAACGAGACCUUCGGGUCUAUUGGCGCACGGGUGCGUACCGCGUGGGAACCUGCCCUUAGGUUCGGAAUAACUCCCCGAAAGGGAUGCUAAUACCGGAUAAUGUCUUCGCACCAAAGAUUUAUCGCCUUUGGAUGGGCCCGCGUUGGAUUAGCUAGUUGGUAGGGUAAAAGCCUACCAAGGCGACGAUGCAUAGCUGGUCUGAGAGGAUGAUCAUCCACACUGGGACUGAGACACGGCCCAGACUCCUACGCGAGGCAGCAGUGGGGAACAUUGGACAAUGGGCGAAAGCCUGAUCCAGCAAUGCCGCGUGAGUGAUGAAGGCCUUAGGGUUGUAAAGCUCUUUUACCCGGGAUGAUAAUGACAGUACCGGGAGAAUAAGCUCCGGCUAACUCCGUG
This 433-nucleotide ribosomal RNA is filed under the name uncultured bacterium. Its description in RNAcentral is "partial 16S ribosomal RNA". It matches the Rfam family "Bacterial small subunit ribosomal RNA", at positions 29 to 507 of the family's 1533-position model. The record is from RNAcentral.